CGGAACGAGUUAUCUGAACCUUCGGGGGAACGAUAACGGCGUCGAGCGGCGGACGGGUGAGUAAUGCCUAGGAAAUUGCCCUGAUGUGGGGGAUAACCAUUGGAAACGAUGGCUAAUACCGCAUAAUGCCUACGGGCCAAAGAGGGGGACCUUCGGGCCUCUCGCGUCAGGAUAUGCCUAGGUGGGAUUAGCUAGUUGGUGAGGUAAGGGCUCACCAAGGCGACGAUCCCUAGCUGGUCUGAGAGGAUGAUCAGCCACACUGGAACUGAGACACGGUCCAGACUCCUACGGGAGGCAGCAGUGGGGAAUAUUGCACAAUGGGCGCAAGCCUGAUGCAGCCAUGCCGCGUGUGUGAAGAAGGCCUUCGGGUUGUAAAGCACUUUCAGUCGUGAGGAAGGUAGUGCAGUUAAUAGCUGCAUUAUUUGACGUUAGCGACAGAAGAAGCACCGGCUAACUCCGUGCCAGCAGCCGCGGUAAUACGGAGGGUGCGAGCGUUAAUCGGAAUUACUGGGCGUAAAGCGCAUGCAGGUGGUUUGUUAAGUCAGAUGUGAAAGCCCGGGGCUCAACCUCGGAAUUGCAUUUGAAACUGGCAGACUAGAGUACUGUAGAGGGGGGUAGAAUUUCAGUGUAGCGGUGAAAUGCGUAGAGAUCUGAAGGGAAUACCGGUGGCGAAGGCGGCCCCCUGGACAGAUACUGACACUCAGAUGCGAAAGCGUGGGGAGCAAACAGGAUUAGGAUACCCUGGUAGUCCACGCCGUAAACGAUGUCUACUUGGGAGGU
RNAcentral lists this ribosomal RNA (780 nucleotides) under uncultured Vibrio sp. RNAcentral's name for it is "bacterial SSU rRNA". It matches the Rfam family "Bacterial small subunit ribosomal RNA", at positions 67 to 825 of the family's 1533-position model. The record is from RNAcentral. Lineage: Bacteria; Pseudomonadati; Pseudomonadota; Gammaproteobacteria; Vibrionales; Vibrionaceae.